AAAAUGCGAUAAGUAAUGUGAAUUGCAGAAUUCAGUGAAUCAUCGAAUCUUUGAACGCACAUUGCGCCCGCCAGUAUUCUGGCGGGCAUGUCUGUUCGAGCGUCAUUUCAACCCUCAAGCCCCCGGGUUUGGUGUUGGGGAUCGGGCUGCGGUUCUACCGCGUCCCGGCCCCGAAAUCUAGUGGCGGUCUCGCUGCAGCCUCCAUUGCGUAGUAGCUAACACCUCGCAACUGGAACGCGGCGCGGCCAAGCCGUUAAACCCCCAACUUCUGAAUGUUGACCUCGGAUCAGGUAGGAAUACCCGCUGAACUUAAGC
Molecule: unclassified non-coding RNA, 315 nt
Filed under: plant metagenome
Description: partial contains 5.8S ribosomal RNA, internal transcribed spacer 2, and large subunit ribosomal RNA
Rfam family: 5.8S ribosomal RNA (bases 1-105)
Source: RNAcentral